Molecule: ribosomal RNA, 502 nt
Filed under: uncultured bacterium
Lineage: Bacteria
Description: partial 16S ribosomal RNA
Rfam family: Bacterial small subunit ribosomal RNA
Source: RNAcentral
ACUCAAAGGAAUUGACGGGGACCCGCACAAGCGGUGGAGCAUGUGGAUUAAUUCGAUACUAACCGAAGAACCUUACCCAGACUUGACAUCGAUCGCAAGCCUAAGAAAUUAGGCCCUCUCUCACAAGGAGACGUGAAGACACUUGUUGCAUGGCUGUCGUCAGCUCGUGCCGUGAGGUGUACGGUUAAGUCCGCCAACGAGCGCAACCCUCGUUCUAUGUUGCCAGCGAGUAAUGUCGGGAACUCAUAGGAGACCGCCGGUGUAAAUCGGAGGAAGGUGGGGAUGACGUCAAGUCAGCAUGGCAGUUACGUCUGGGGCUUCACACAUGCUACAAUGGACGAAACAAAGGGCAGCAAUACCGCGAGGUGGAGCAAAUCCCAAAAAUACGUCCUCAGUUCAGAUUGCAGUCUGCAACUCGACUGCAUGAAGGCGGAAUCGCUAGUAAACGCAGGUCAGCUAUACUGCGUUGAAUACGUUCCCGGGUCUUGCACACACCGCCCGU